GAUGAACGCUGGCGGCGUGCCUAAUACAUGCAAGUCGAGCGAACGGACGAGAAGCUUGCUUCUCUGAUGUUAGCGGCGGACGGGUGAGUAACACGUGGAUAACCUACCUAUAAGACUGGGAUAAAUUCGGGAAACCGGAGCUAAUACCGGAUAAUAUUUUGAACCGCAUGGUUCAAAAGUGAAAGACGGUCUUGCUGUCACUUAUAGAUGGAUCCGCGCUGCAUUAGCUAGUUGGUAAGGUAACGGCUUACCAAGGCAACGAUGCAUAGCCGACCUGAGAGGGUGAUCGGCCACACUGGAACUGAGACACGGUCCAGACUCCUACGGGAGGCAGCAGUAGGGAAUCUUCCGCAAUGGGCGAAAGCCUGACGGAGCAACGCCGCGUGAGUGAUGAAGGUCUUCGGAUCGUAAAACUCUGUUAUUGGGGAAGAACAUAUGUGUAAGUAACUGUGCACAUCUUGACGGUACCUAAUCAGAAAGCCACGGCUAACUACGUG
RNAcentral lists this ribosomal RNA (497 nucleotides) under uncultured bacterium. RNAcentral's name for it is "partial 16S ribosomal RNA". It matches the Rfam family "Bacterial small subunit ribosomal RNA", at positions 28 to 507 of the family's 1533-position model. The record is from RNAcentral.